This 49-nucleotide transfer RNA is filed under the name Turnera candida. RNAcentral's name for it is "partial tRNA-Leu". Lineage: Eukaryota; Viridiplantae; Streptophyta; Magnoliopsida; Malpighiales; Passifloraceae. The record is from RNAcentral.
AAUCGGUAGACGCUACGGACUUAAAAUCCGUCGACUUUAGAAAUCGUGA